UACGUAGGGGGCGAGCGUUGUGCGGACUCAUUGGGCGGAAAGGGCGAGUAGGCGGCCCGGUAAGUCCGCUCUGAAAGUCCAGGGCUCAACCCUGGAAAGCGGGUGGAUACUGCCGGGCUGGAAUCCGGAAGAGGCGAGUGGAAUUCCUGGUGAAGCGGUGGAAUGCGCAGAUAUCAGGAGGAACACCAAUAGCGAAGGCAGCUCGCUGGGACGGUAUUGGCGCUAAGGCGCGAAAGCGUGGGGAGCAAAUAGG
RNAcentral lists this ribosomal RNA (253 nucleotides) under uncultured bacterium. Its description in RNAcentral is "partial 16S ribosomal RNA". It matches the Rfam family "Bacterial small subunit ribosomal RNA", at positions 524 to 776 of the family's 1533-position model. The record is from RNAcentral.